UGCGUAGGUGGCGUGGUAAGUCAGAUGUGAAAGCCCGGGGCUCAACCUCGGAAUUGCAUCCGAUACUGCCGUGCUAGAGUACUGAAGAGGUGACUAGAAUUCUCGGUGUAGCAGUGAAAUGCGUAGAUAUCGAGAGGAAUACCAACGGCGAAGGCAGGUCACUGGGCAGUUACUGACACUGAGGCACGAAGGCCAGGGGAGCAAACG
RNAcentral lists this ribosomal RNA (207 nucleotides) under uncultured bacterium. RNAcentral's name for it is "partial 16S ribosomal RNA". It matches the Rfam family "Bacterial small subunit ribosomal RNA", at positions 568 to 774 of the family's 1533-position model. The record is from RNAcentral.